AGAUUGACUUGUUGAUGCUGGCGAAUCUUCUUUAGAUUUUCUGCUAUCUCAACUAAUGAUUCCUCUAUCUCGCACAUAGCAUUGGAGGAUUUGGCGUUACGAAUGAUAUUCUCUAAUUCGACAAUUUCCCGGCACUCUUUGUGACAUUCCACGAUACAUGUGCUGCAGCAGGGACAUUCAUGCUUCUGGCAAUAGAAUUGAUAUUUUUUAUCGUGACUGGUACAAUACUGAGUAAUUUUCAGUACAUCCGCUGGCAGUUUCUGGUAUUCGGCAAUAGGUAUCACACUGUGGCUUCUCGAUGACUUAGACAAACUAUGAUGCUCCUUGCAAUCUGAACAUAGUCCCUCGUCACAUUCUGUACACCAGACUAUGCAUGGUUUUGUGAUGUGACGGAGGUCACAAACACCACAGCUUUGAGAUGAUGCAGCCAUUAAACACACUACAAAAUUAGAAUCAAUGAUAAAUGAUUAGCCAUAACAAUAGUUUUGCAGUCGGUGGUACCAUCUUUAAAAGUAAAUAUUCUAAAAUUGAAUUCAAUUUGACUUGGGUUUAAAGUACCUGUAUUUUUAAAAAUCAUGCAGAGGGUGAUUCAUGACAUGUCACAGAAUUAAUUUGUUUUGCCCUAUAUGAUAAAACAUUGGUAUAUGAGUAAAUUUUGUCAUUAUUUUUCCUGUAUAAUGUGCAUUGCCAUGGUAACCGUCAAUACAAC
Molecule: long non-coding RNA, 709 nt
Filed under: Mytilus galloprovincialis (Mediterranean mussel)
Lineage: Eukaryota; Metazoa; Mollusca; Bivalvia; Mytilida; Mytilidae
Source: RNAcentral